AUUGAACGCUGGCGGAAUGCUUUACACAUGCAAGUCGAACGGCAGCACGGACUUCGGUCUGGUGGCGAGUGGCGAACGGGUGAGUAAUGUAUCGGAACGUGCCCAGUCGUGGGGGAUAACGUAGUGAAAAUUACGCUAAUACCGCAUACGAUCUAUGGAUGAAAGCGGGGGAUCGCAAGACCUCGCGCGAUUGGAGCGGCCGGAAUCAGAUUAGGUAGUUGGUGGGGUAAAGGCCCACCAAGCCAACGAUCUGUAGCGGGUCUGAGAGGACGACCAGCCAAACUGGAACGGAGAACCGGCCCCACCUCCUACGGGAGGGAGCGGGGGGGAAUUUUGGAAAAGGGGGGAAAGCCUGUUCCAGCAAUUCCGGGUGCAGGAUGAAGGCCCUCGGGUUUUAAACUGGUUUUGUAAAGAAAGAAAAGGUUUCUACUAAUACUGGGAGCUCAUGACGGUACUGUAAGAUAAGCACCGGCUAACUACGUGCCAGCCGCCGCGGUAA
RNAcentral lists this ribosomal RNA (499 nucleotides) under uncultured bacterium. RNAcentral's name for it is "partial 16S ribosomal RNA". It matches the Rfam family "Bacterial small subunit ribosomal RNA", at positions 30 to 523 of the family's 1533-position model. The record is from RNAcentral.